UUUAAUGCUCUAAAAGGUAAUUAAAAAAUCCAUUUAACAACCUGAUCGUAGGUCGCUCUGCUUCAUGGAGACCCGAAAUUAGUUUUUCACCACCAGUGACAGGAGCUAGCCUUGAUGCUAUUUUAUGGAAGAAUCUUAUCUGUAAAAAGAAUAAUAUAUGAUUUCUUAUUGAGAAAUAAAAAAAUUUAUAAAAAAUACAACUAUCAGAUUAAUUAAUUUGCUUGUUGGGAUACCAAGCAUCGGUGAGAGUCCGGGUUUCUAGCAUCCAAUCGGUGUAGUUGCUUUAGGGCCUGAUGACACACAAAAGUUAGUUAAGUUAUUAUCCAAAUCAAAUAAAAGAAACUAGUUCUUUUUUUUUUUUUUAAAUUUCCAUCCAAAUUUUUAUUUGAAAUAAGUGUUGGGUUUUGAGCAUUCUAACACUCCUAUGGUGUACAUGCAACCCUAUAAACCUUGGAUCUAUGUUUUCUCUAUAAUACAUGCAAAUAAGAACUUUCCAAGGCUUUAAUCCUAACUAGCAUAUUAUGAAGUUCUUAUACUACAAAGUACUAGUUAGAUGACAUACCUUUUUGAUGUAGCUUGAUGUCUUCAAGCUUUAAGAGCUUAGCCCCAAUAGUGUGGAAGCCUCAAAUGGAAUCACAAAUCACCAAAACACCUUGGAAGANUUCCCCAACCGGACAUCUUUAUAUAGUAUGGAGGAUUAGGGUUAAACCCUAAUACCCAUGACCUUUCAUUUCCUAGGAUCCAUGGGUUAAACACUCCAUGGAAUAUCAAUGAAAGCUUAGCCCAACCUAAAUGAACUUGGCCCAUUCCAUAUAUAUAAGAGUCCAUAUUUAAUUAGUUCCUUUUGAUCACUUAAUUAAUUAUAAAUUAAUUCUUGAUCAAUACUAAUUAAAUAAUAUGAUUCCAUAUUAAUAUAUUAGAACUUAUAAUAUAUUAAUAUUAAUCAUAAACAUACUAUUCUCAAAAGAUUAUCCAUAUAAAUUGUGUCGGUGAAGUGCAACCCAAAUGGACCAUGCCGGGUCGGGUCAAGUACAUACCAAAUAUAGUUAUGGACUUAGACAUUAAUCCAACAGUCUCCCACUUGGAUAAGUCUAAAACUAUUAUUGCGUAUGACUUCAAACCUAACUGGCAAUCGUAGCUCUUAAAGCCGCUGUCGAACUCUGAUCUUGUCAACGAACUUGUCCAUUAGAUAAGGGAUCAUAUAUUCCUCCAUUCUAGAUAUCAUAUGGACUGAGACAUGGAUUAUAAUCAUUCUCUCUGUCCAUUUGUUGUUUCCCGAUUUCCGAUUUAUGACGACUGACUAAUUGAACAAAUCAAAUCAGUCCUGGCCCGGCCGAGCACUUCCAUUUGUCAUCAUCAAAUCAUCGAGGGGCCCACAGAUAUCGCUUUUAUCCCGAAGGUAAAAGGAAUGGAUAAACUUCGACUCAUAUGGCUUGUUCUACUACUUGUUGAAUCAUACACAAAGGCACGUUUUAUAGCACCGAGUUACCAAAUGCGUUUUCGUGCAAUCAAUGUACAACCAACUCAUAGUAACAACUCAUAUCUCUAGGUUUGAAGAAUAUAAGAUAUUAUCGUCUCAUGAUCACUCGUGAUAAAAUCCAUGAAGUGAUUCCAAUGAGCGCGGGUUGAAUCCAAUACUCAGAACUUAUGAGCACUCAUGAGUGUUGUAGCCCUUUGUCCAACACCUUAGACCUCUACAAGCCAACCCAUGACAGUCUUAAUUCAUAUCUACUUCCAACAUAUGACCGACUGUGGAUGGUUUGAAUAACUUAGUCAUUCCGGAAGAAUAACCUAGUUUAUUCGGGAAGUCAAAACAUGCAAAGUGAAACACAAUAAUAAUUGAAUCCAAUAUGGUAUCAACCCUUUGAACAUAAAUAAAACACCUUUUAUUUAUCACCAUAUGAUUACACAUUAUUCAUUGUAUACUGUUUCAGCUAUCAACUUUAUUCUUGAAUUUAAAACAAUAGUUGUCCCAUGCUCCAAGCAUGUACACUAUGUUUUCUUAAACACUAGUCAUGCCACACACCAAGUAUGCAUACUAUGUUUGUCUAUGAUCUUUACUUUGUGAACUAGAUCAAUUGAACAUAACUUCAAUGAUUCUCUUUUCACACUCCCAAAUCCUUACUGCAAAUGCAAGAAUUCCAAAUUCAUGCCAUUUACUGAAAUCUGUUAGAUUCUAAACUUAUAUGCAUUGAUCCUCUUGUAAUGAUUAUGCACAAAGUCACAAAGACUUGGCAACAAUCAUUACAGAGUAUUCCAAAGGAGAUCAACUCCUUGGAAAUAUCCUUCUUGCAUUAAGUUUCCUUAAUCUUACACAGAUUGAAAAUUCUAACUUUGAAACAUUUCCAGAUUCCAUUUUGACUAUCACUUCUGAACAAGAGUUGCCUCCUUACAGAUUAUGUCAAUAUGGUCCUUCCAGAAUUAUCACUAUACUUCCAAUUGUCCUUGAGUAACCAAUCUUUGGUAAACCUUAGAUUGUCCUCGACAAUUGUUUAAUCCUUUUAGUCAUAUCCAGUUCUAAACCUUUUCCCUUCUUAAUGCCCCAGGCAUUUGGAAAAUUUUAGAACGGAUGAAUAUAGCACAUGUAAUCGAUCCUAUAUCCGAAGCAUAUGGGACACGAUUCAUGAUGUCUUACAUAAAGACUAAACCAGUCUUUUGCUAUAAUAUUUCCAUUUCAAUUUGCCAAGUUCUCAUAAUUCAGAUUAUGAAAAGGGAUGCCGUAAUCAUAAUCGAAUUUUAGAACGCAAAUAAUGGACCCAUAUACAGAAUUUCCUUAUGUUGAGCCAUUCCAACAUGAAAUUCAUAUAUAUCCUUGACUAAAUGAUUAAAACCUCACGAUCUAAGCUUAUAGAUUUGAGAUGAAGCAUAAUUUCCUCUCCCUUAAUUAUAGCAAAACAACUUUUUCCCAAUUGAAACUUUUGUUUUCUAUAAUUAACAUUGCUAACUUGCAAUACUUAUCAUAAUUAUCAUGCUCCCACUAACAUGAUGAUUAUUAGCAUAACACUUAUGCUCCCACUAGCUUUGACAUGUACUCAGAAAUCAGCUGGACAGUCUGAAAUUUAGAUUCAUACACCCUUUCCGUAGAUAGCUCACCUGUGUGUCUAAGCAAUUUCAAGAACCAUGAAAAGGGAUACCGUAAUCAUGGUCUCAAUUGCUUAGGCAUUUGCCAUUUCUCACAAGUCCAUGUUAGUGUGCCGGUUAACCACACGCGCUCCACUAACGACUUUUGAAAAUGCAAAUAACACAAUUGAUAUCUUCGUAAAAUCUACUUAGUGAAAGCGUUUCCUCACCAUCAUUUUCAUGAAUCGGAGAGAAACCUUAUGACACUUAGAUUUAUAUGGUGUAUGAGUUCCUACCCAUAUGAAUUUGUCAAACCAUAAUCACAAGACAAAGAUAAUGACAAAUCCAAAACCAUAUGGAUUGAACUCAAUCUUAACUUCUUGCCACCUGGCAGCUCAAGGGCCUGCCAUUGCUUCCAAGUUGUUAUGCAACAAACUGAGAACUCUAAGAACUCAUAUGCAAAGCCAACUUUAACUGGAAUGGGCACAGAUAUGUCAACACGAUAGGUUAUAAACCUCAAGUCGUGUGCUAGUGAAGAACUUUAGGUUUUAUUCUUGAUUAUUUCUUGAGACUUUCAAGACCUUUAAGACUCCCACUGUCCUCUUGACAUAUAAGACUCCCUUGUCAAACAUCCAAGAGAUAGUGCGGAUUCUAAUCAAGAAAAACACUUUACCCAAUUGGCCUAAGUUGGUCUUUGUUUUAUCCAAAACAUCACAACUUACCAAUUUCAAAUGUACAAGAGUAGAAAACUUUUACUCUUACAUUUGACAAGUGUUUUAAACCUUCUUUAAGACAUGUCACUCAAAUGACAAUCUUGGAGUAUGACUCUAAGACUUGUAUUGGAACGAAGUAUGACUCAUCUUCUUGAUUUAACCAUUUCAACAAUUCAAGUUCCUCUUCUUAGUCAUAAGAAUGCACUAAGAUUUCCUUAGAGAACUAAUUUUGAUAUGGUUUCUUAAUCAUUAAGAUGAUCACAAAACUGAUACUAAAGUACUCUCCCAUCUUUUCAGAUUUGAGAAACUUUUAUCCUUCUGCCUUAUUUGAUUCUUCUUAUCGAUCUUUAGUGGUGGACUUAAUCAGUGCACAAGAAUGUGUACUCGAUCCCUAAGUCCUUUACUUGACUCACACAUCCAUGUGAACAAGUAAUUAGUCUUAAUUUUCCAAAACUUGAAAGUUCUCAUUCAUCAUGCUAUACAACUUGCAUGAUUCCAAGUUCCGGUCCAAUUGAAACUUGGGUGAUGAGAAUCUUUCCUUAUUUGGUAAAUUUAGACAUUACCACAAAUGAAAGAAUCAAUUUCAUAUUUCCACUCUUGCUCUUAAUGGAAUCAUAUAAGCAACAAUUUUUCCUCAAAUGCCAUUGUAAGGAUAUUUUAAAAUAAAUAAAAAAAAAAAUUUUCUUUUAUUUUAAAACUUUGCGGAAAAACUUAUCCUUACAAUCCAUAUGAAAACUUGUUGUUAUCUAUUCCUAAGCAAUAUCUCAUAACUCCUAAGAAGUAGCUCAAGAAUCCGAUCUUCAAACUAUGCGAUAGAAAUCCAUCUACGCCAUCAGAUUCAGCAUAUUCUUUCUUUAAGUUUCUUCACUUUUCUUUGAUUCUUAAAACAUCACCAUGUGACCCAGUCACAUCAUGUAUCAAGAAUCUCAGAAUAGAAACUUAACAGAGUUAGAUAGUGGACUUUACCUGAAGUAGAGUCAAACUUAUUGACUUUAACAUCCUUAGGUAAAUUUGGCAGCUUCGCAACCAAUGCCCCUUCCUUUGGCAAUAUAAACAUAUGGACCCUUUGAUAAUGGUACACAGGACUAUCACAGACUUAGCUUUUCUCUUUACCAUUUGGUCAACCGAGUUGACUAUGGCCGAUCCCUUUCCAUUGGGAAGAGAAUGCUUUACUGGAUAUCCAAUGUCAUCAUUGUCAAUGUCCAUAAAGUUUUAGGAAGUUGAUCUUAGCAAAUAGAUAAGAUCAUUAAGGGUCUUGUCAUAGUCUGUUUCAUAGGUGUCCCAAAGGAACUCACUAUGUGACUUAGAAAGUGAUUGAACCACCAACUUUCUCAAGACUUUGACACCCAACUCUCCCGGCUUGUCAAUAUGUGACUACAUCUCCAAGAUGUGAUCACACCUAGACCUUGCCUUGCCAAUAGGGCUUGAGUGACCUUAAACUUUUCAAGAACUUGUGGGUUAGGGAGAAUAAUUGGAGGAGGAGAAAGAAGUAUGAUAUCCAUGGGACAUCAUCUUCAUUAGGAAACCUUGUUUCAAGAGAUUUGGGAAGAUCAUAAGUGUCUAAACCAGACAUCUUUUGGGAGAUAUUCAAGAUAGUUGAUUUAAAGUCCUUAAUAUGACACCCAAUAUGAAAUAUUAAGGCUAGGACCCAACAAACUAUUUUAUAACUUAGAAGAGGUAUGCCGUAAUCCAAGCUAUAAAAUAUUUGAAGGUAGGUGAAUGACGAUUCACCAAUUUCCACCAAGAUAAACGAAAUGUAUUAUUAGGUUUUAAUUGGUUUUGAAACUCCUAGAUCUUUGAGAUUCAUUGAACUGUUCAAUGGCAUGUUUCAAUCUCGAGUGUGCCCUUCAGGUUUUGUGACUGGGAUGCCGAGGAUCACAAAACAAGGUGUGAAGUAACCAUGCAAAUUACUUGGUACCCUUAAGUGUUUACCCCUCAAUCAAUGUGCCAGUUAACCACACACGCUCCACCGAUACUAUGAUAAACAUUAAGUUACCCUUUGCCUACCUUGUUAAAUAUGAGUUAGUGUGCUGGUUAACCACACACACUCCACUAACCGACUUAAACAAAGUGCAAAGUGUAGUUUCAUGGAUUAGCACCUUACUCACAUUUUCCUAAGUGACUAAGAUUUAGUAUUUAUAAGAGUUUAGUUACUUAGUAUUUAUCAUUAAUACUUUUAAUGAAGGGAGAAUUAUAGUCCUGUCAAACCCGUUCGGCUAACGACCCUCCACCAGUCAAGCAAGCGGUGGGUGAGAGUGGACACCCAUUAAGUUGCCAUUUUAUAGGCAACAACCUUAUACCCACCUUAUAGACCGGCUUCGUGAAUGAGGCGUACUAGCGGUAAGACUGACUUUACUCUUAUACAUAUAUAUAUUAUUAACUUAUAAUAUUAUAAAGUAUAAGGGUUGAAUUUUAACUUUUAAAAUUCUAAGGGCUAACUUGGAAUUAAAGUAUUCAUAAGUGAAAACUUUACAAAUUCCAAAACUUGAGGGCAAGUUUUGAAACUAUUCAAAACUAAUUAAUUCCAUAACUUAUGUGUUUAAAGUAGUUUUAAUCCAAAAACUCUUCAAGUUCCAUAACUUGAGGACAAGUUAUGGAAGACUUUAAACUAAUAAAAGAAUUAACUUUUCUUUAUUUUAUAACUUAUGGAAUUAAUUAAGGUUACCCUUUUUUUUAUUUUAUUUUAUUUUAUUAAAUGAAGAGACUCUUGGUCCUCCAUAACUUGAGGACAAGUUAUGGAGUCAUAAAACCAUUUAAUUAGAACUAGACUCUUCAUUUUUGUAACCUUUGCCAAUUUUUAUGAGUUUUAUGAUUCUUAAAUGUGACUUUUCAUAUAACUUGAGGACAAGUUACAAAAACACAUUUUAGAAUCAAUUCUUAGAUUAAUUUGGAUUAAAACCAACUAUCACAUAAUUUUAUUCAUUAAUCUAAAUUCACUCAUAAAACAAGGUAACACAAAAAACUUUUGGUGAUCCAUAACUUAUUCUUAAGUUAUGGAAUCCUUUAAAACAUUAACACCAAAUUUUGUAACUCCAAAAAAACUUUGAAUCAAUUUUUUUUUUAAAACCUUUUCAUAUCCAUAACUUAUGGAGGUUUCAAAAAAUAAAACUCUUUAGAUCAAACUUUUAAAACUAAUAAAAUAAUCAUAUUAUUUUAUCUUUUAUUAAAUUUGACCUAAUUCAACUCAUAAAGCAAAUUAUUCAAAUUUUACAAAUAAUUAGUUUUUCACAAGAACAAGUAAUUAUCUUAAAAUUUGACGAACUUCAUGUUUUUUUUUUUUUUUUUUUUCAACUUUGAAAAUAAAAUAUUUGCAUCAAUAUAACAGAAAACAACCCGUGGCUCUGAUACCACUGUUGGGUUUUGAGCAUUCUAACACUUCCUAAGUGUACAUGCAACCCUAAAUACCUUGGAUCUAUGUUUUCUCUAUUAUACAUGCAAAUAAGAACAUCCAAGGUAUUAUCCUAAUCUAGCAUACAAAAACUAUGAAUGUAACAAGAUAGAAUACAUACCUCUUGAUGUAGCUUGAUGUCUUCAAGCUUUAAGAGCUUAGCCCCAAUAGUGUGGAAGCCUCAAGUGGAAUCACAAAUCACCAAGACACCUUGGAAUACUUUAGAGAAUAUGAUUACUUGGUUCUCUCUAGUGAAAUUGGCUAGCCCUUCUUUAGUGUAUCCACACUAGUGCCAAUUUCACCAACCAAAGACAUCUUUAUAUAGUAUGGAGGAUUAGGGUUAAACCCUAAUACCCAUGACCUUUCAUUUCCUAGGAUCCAUGGGUUAAACACUCCAUGGAAUAUCCAUGAAAGCUUAGCCCAACCUAAAUGAACUUGGCCCAUUCCAUAUAUAUAAGAGUCCAUAUUUAAUUAGUUCCUUUUGAUCACUUAAUUAAUUAUAAAUUAAUUCUUG
This 7675-nucleotide long non-coding RNA is filed under the name Lactuca sativa (garden lettuce). RNAcentral describes it as "long non-coding RNA (LSAT_LNC005015)". The record is from RNAcentral. Lineage: Eukaryota; Viridiplantae; Streptophyta; Magnoliopsida; Asterales; Asteraceae.